This 1475-nucleotide long non-coding RNA is filed under the name Homo sapiens (human). RNAcentral describes it as "HSALNT0305364". Lineage: Eukaryota; Metazoa; Chordata; Mammalia; Primates; Hominidae. The record is from RNAcentral.
CUGAUGAAACUGACAAAGGCGAGAGCGCGCAGCAGCCCACAGCAGCCGAGUUCGCGCCGCCGGUAGGUGCUGCCAUGCCAGGGGGCGGGAUCGUGGAGCGCCUCGCAGAACCGCACGAAAGCAAAAACAAAGCCAUCUCUCCGGAGCAGAAAUAGAACAGACGUGGCCGGGGAAAGCCAAAUAUUUGUGAGAUGAUGUGAACAAAGGGGGAAAAGUCAAUCCAGGGAAGUUUGAGUUUCUGGUUGGAGGCUUCAGCGGCUCUGAUCGCUGGAUACUUUAAGAGAACAUCCUUUGCCCCCGCUCUCCCUCUCUCCCCGAAGAAAAAUAAAUCCUUGGCAAAAUGAGACUUGACGGCAUGAAAAGAAGGUCUCCAGACUGUCCCAGCUGGCGCGGGCGGGGCCGGGGCCGAGGUGCCGCUUGGUGACACUGCAGCCGCGGCUCAGCACUGUCACCCAGAAAGGCCCGCCGACGUCUGUAUGCAGGGAACGUGGCUCUUAGCAGAGCCUGGACAGGCGCAGGGCCAAGGAAGUCUUUGUUUUUGUUUCUUUCUCUAGCCCUUCCUGCCAAUACAUCAGGGAUAUAACUCCUUGGUGUUUCUGCCUUACAAUCGCUCCUUAUACCCCACCCAGAUCCUCAGCACUGCAGCUCCCACUGCCACUGCCCGCUGUGAGUCACCUCCCCCUCUCCCUUUUUUAAACCAAACGGCAAGGCCAUAUUGCAGUUAUCCAUAAAUGGAAAAGCAAGAAGCCACCAAUACCUGUUUGAGAAGAUGGCAUUUUAAUUAGCACACUCCGGCUGCCAUAAACCCGGGCUCCUGCCCCACCUCUCCCCCCGCCCCCUCCUCCCCCCUCCCCCGCCGUGCCCUCUCUCAACCUCCCCGCUCACCCCCAUCUAUGUAAAAAAGCCAUAAAGCCUCUCUCCAAUCGCUUUCUCGGAGGGAGUUUUUGCAACCCCCACAACACAGGUUGAUUGGAAAGGUCUCUCUCCCGGAUAACAACAAUUCAAUGUGCCUUGACAUUUUAAUAGCCUGCCGUCCUGGUGAACACAAUCGAGCAAGGCAGUGAAGCAAACAUCAUUAGGUGGCUGGACUCAGACACAUCACGCUCCAGUUUGGGUUCCAAGGUGCUUCUCUCUGGAUUUUCACCUGCCUUGCCAAAAAUGAUUGAUUACGCUGGGCCAACUGGGUGUCCGGCAAUACCCAACAAAUGACUUUGGCCCCUAACAGCAGGUCUUGGCCAGACAGAAAUCAAUAUUUCACCAUUAAAAUCUAUCAAAGAAGAGUUAAGGCACCAUCUGUCCCUGCCGCCUCUCUAUGGUGUGUGAACAUUAAAUCCGACACUUGUACUACAUGGGUAAUCAAUAUAUAGUGGUUCACAGAUCAUUUGUGGUUCCCUUUUAGCAGUGAUGGAUGUCUGGAAUCGUUGUGAUUCAUUUUGUCAGACCAUUAAACAAGAUUCUGUCCAGUUCCUUCCUGA